RNAcentral lists this ribosomal RNA (492 nucleotides) under uncultured bacterium. RNAcentral's name for it is "partial 16S ribosomal RNA". It matches the Rfam family "Bacterial small subunit ribosomal RNA", at positions 28 to 505 of the family's 1533-position model. The record is from RNAcentral.
GACGAACGCUGGCGGCGUGCUUAACACAUGCAAGUCGAACGGAAAGGCCUGCUUUCCCUUGUGGAUUGCGGGUACUCGAGUGGCGAACGGGUGAGUAACACGUGAGUGAUCUGCCCCCAACUUGGGUAUAAGCCUGGGAAACUGGGUCUAAUUCCCGAUAGGACUGCAGGGUGGUGCCUGUGGUGGAAAACGAUUUUCUAGUGGUUGGGGAUGAGCUCGCGGCCUAUCAGCUUGUUGGUGGGGUAAUGGCCUACCAAGGCGGCGACGGGUAGCCGGCCUGAGAGGGCGGACGGCCACAUUGGGACUGAGAUUCGGCCCAGACUGCUACGGGAGGCAGAAGUGGGGAAUAUUGCACAAUGGGCGGAAGCCUGAUGCAGCGACGCCGCGUGGGGGAUGACGGCCUUCGGGUUGUAAACUCCUUUCGACCGCGAGGAAGCCACCUGGUUGGAAGGGUGGUGACGGUAGUGGUAGAAGAAGCACCGGCUAACUACG